AUUGAACGCUGGCGGCAGGCCUAACACAUGCAAGUCGAACGAGUGGCGGACGGGUGAGUAAUGUCUGGGAAACUGCCUGAUGGAGGGGGAUAACUACUGGAAACGGUAGCUCAUACCGCAUACCAUCAGAUGUGCCCAGAUGGGCUUAGCUUGUUUGUGGGGUAACGGCUCACCAAGGCGACGCUCCCUAGCUGGUCUGAGAGGAUGACCAGCCACAAUGGAACUGAGACACGGUACAGACUCGUACGGGAGGCAGCAGUGGGGAAUAUUACACAAGGGGCGGAAGACGGAUGCGGCCAUGCCGCGUGGAUGAAGAAGGCCUUCGGGUUGUAAAGUACUUUCAGCGGGGAGGCGUUACCCGGAGAAGAAGCACCGGCUAACUCCGUGCCAGCCGCCGCGGUAAUUC
This 406-nucleotide ribosomal RNA is filed under the name uncultured bacterium. Its description in RNAcentral is "partial 16S ribosomal RNA". It matches the Rfam family "Bacterial small subunit ribosomal RNA", at positions 30 to 526 of the family's 1533-position model. The record is from RNAcentral.